UAAUAUUUGAAUCUAAAGGGUGUCUUUUUAGUCUGCGGAUCUGAUUCGUCGUGUCAAGUAAUUGAGUAACUAAUGGGUUUUGCUUGUUAAUUCUUAUAUUAUAUCUAUUACUGAAUUUGGAUAUUUCUUCUUUAACUGUAGGUAUCUCAAGGUCGCGAUGUAUUGUUUCCUUGGUAACAUACCAAGGUGCAUCUAUUAAGAAUCUUAGAGUUUUUGAUUGG
Molecule: unclassified non-coding RNA, 221 nt
Filed under: Bombus terrestris (buff-tailed bumblebee)
Lineage: Eukaryota; Metazoa; Arthropoda; Insecta; Hymenoptera; Apidae
Description: misc RNA ENSBTSG00005026127.1
Source: RNAcentral